This 456-nucleotide ribosomal RNA is filed under the name uncultured bacterium. Its description in RNAcentral is "bacterial SSU rRNA". It matches the Rfam family "Bacterial small subunit ribosomal RNA", at positions 340 to 786 of the family's 1533-position model. The record is from RNAcentral.
UACGGAAGGCAGCAGUGGGGAAUAUUGCACAAUGGGCAAAAGCCUGAUGCAGCUAUGCCGCGUGCAUGAAGAAGGCCUUAGGGUUGUAAAGUACUUUCAUCGGGGAGGAAAAACAAAACUAAUAAUUUUAUUUCUUGACGUUACCCGAAAAAGAAGCACCGGCUAACUCCGUGCCAGCAGCCGCGGUAAUACGGAGGGUGCUAGCGUUAAUCAGAAUUACUGGGCGUAAAGAGCACGUAGGUGGUUUUUUUAAGUUCAGAUGUGAAAUCCCUGGGCUUAACCUAGGAACUGCAUUUUGAAACUGAAAUACUAGAGUAUCGUAGAGGGAGGUAGAAUUCUAGGUGUAGCGGUGAAAUGCGUAGAUAUCUGGAGGAAUACCUGUGGCGAAAGCGGCCUCCUAAACGAAUACUGACACUGAGGUGCGAAAGCGUGGGGAGCAAACAGGGAUUAGAUACC